UACAGAGGUCUCAAGCGUUGUUCGGAUUCAUUGGGCGUAAAGGGCGCGUAGGCGGCGGGGCAAGUCGGGUGUGAAAUCUCAGAGCUCAACUCUGAAACUGCACUCGAUACUGCUUGGCUUGAGUACUGGAGAGGAGAUUGGAAUUCACGGUGUAGCGGUGAAAUGCGUAGAUAUCGUAAGGAAGACCAGUGGCGAAGGCGGGUCUCUGGACAGUUCCUGACGCUGAGGCACGAAGGCCAGGGGAGCAAACGGG
Molecule: ribosomal RNA, 253 nt
Filed under: uncultured bacterium
Lineage: Bacteria
Description: partial 16S ribosomal RNA
Rfam family: Bacterial small subunit ribosomal RNA
Source: RNAcentral